Mandrillus leucophaeus (drill) is the source of this 1552-nucleotide RNA transcript. It is a transcript of the gene named double-stranded RNA-binding protein Staufen homolog 2 pseudogene, with no coding region annotated. Lineage: Eukaryota; Metazoa; Chordata; Mammalia; Primates; Cercopithecidae. The record is from RefSeq and is a predicted model, not a curated record. The transcript has a single exon.
AACUCAAAAGAGAAAACUGCAAUGUGUCUGGUAAAUGAGUUAGCCCGUUUCAAUAGAGUCCAACACCAGUAUAAACUUCUGAUUCAUUCAAAGAUGUUCUCAGUGCAACUGAGUCUUGGUGAGCGGACAUGGGAAUCUGAAGGCAGCAGUAUAAAGAAGGCUCAACAGCCUGUUGCUAAUAAAGCUUUGGCUGAAUCUACGCUUCUCAAAACGGUUUAGAAGUCACCCAAAAGUAAUGUUAACAUUAACCCAGGCAGUAUAACACUCACUGCGGAACUGAACGUGCUUGCUAUGAAAAGGGGCAGAACCUGCCAUCUACAGGCCAUUAGAUCCAAAGCCAUUCCCAAGUUAUAGAGCUAAUUACAACUUUCGGGGCCUGUACCAUCAGAGGUAUCAUUGCCCAAUGCCUAAGAUCUUUUAUGUUCAGCUCACUGUAGGAAAUAACGAAUUUUGGGGGGAAGGAAAGACUCGACAAGCUGCUAGACACAAUGCUGCAAUGAAAGCCCUCCAAGCACUGCAGAUUGAACCUAUUCCAGAAAGACUGCCUCAGAAUGGUGAAUCAGGAAAGGAUAUGGAUGAUGACAAAGAUGCAGAUAAGUCUGAGAUCAGCUUAGUGUUUGAAAUUGAUCUGAAGUGAAAUAUGUCCGUUAGUUUUGAGGUUAUUAAAGAAAGUGGACCACCACAUAUGAAAAGCUUUGCUACUCGACUGUCAGUAGGAGAGUUCUCUACAGAAGGAGAGGGAAAUAGCAAAACACUCUCCAAGAAGCGUGCUGCAACCACCAUAUUACAGGAGCUUAAAAAACUUCCACCUCUUCCUGUGGUGGAAAAGCCAAAACUAUUUUUUUUUAAAACACCCCAAAACAAUAGUAAAGGCCGGACCAGAAUAUGGCCAAGGAAUGAACCCUAUUAGCUGCCUGGUGCAAAUUCAACAAGCCAAAAAGGAAAAGGAGCAAGAUUAUGUUUUGCUUUCAGAAAGAGAAAUGCCUCGAUGUCAAGAAUUUGUGAUGUAUGUGCAGGUAGGCACUGAAGCUGCUACAGGAACAGGACCUAAUAAAAAGAUAGGCAAAAUAAAUAAAUAAAUAAAUAAAUAAAAUAAAUUUUAAAAAGCUGCAGAACCAAUGCUAUUACAACUUGGUUAUAAAGCAUCUACUAAUCUUCAGGAUCAACUUGAGAAAAUAGGGGAAAACAAAGGAUGGAGUGAUCCAAAGCCUGGGUCUCCUGAACCAACAAAUAAUACUCUAAAAGGAAUUCUUCAUCUGUCUCCUGAUGUUUAUCAAGAGAGGGAAGCCAGCCGCCACAAAGUAAUCUCUGGCACUAUUCUAGGCUAUUUGUCACCCAGAGAUAUGAACCAACCUUCAAGUUAUUUUUUCAGUAUAUCUCCCACAUCGAAUAGUUCAGCUACAAUUGCCAAGGAACUCCUUCUGAAUGGAAAAUCUUCUACAGCUGAAGCCACAGGUUUAAAAGGAAGUUCUCCUACUCCCCCUUGUUCUCCAGUACAACCUUCAAAAAACAACUGGAAUAUUUAGCAAGGAUUCAAGGCUUUCAGGUAUGA